Molecule: non-coding RNA, 26 nt
Filed under: Mus musculus (house mouse)
Lineage: Eukaryota; Metazoa; Chordata; Mammalia; Rodentia; Muridae
Source: RNAcentral
UAGCUACAGAUCUUCAGUUAGUAUGG